AUCGCAUUGUCAUAAUGGCUUGCGUUACUGGAGUAGGAUGAUGUUACACUGAUCUGAAGUCAGUUUUGCUUUGUUCCCCCAUAAUGGUUAAGGUAAGGCAUCGGGGAGGGUGAGUUGAUCCUAGAUACGUGCCCGAAGGGGGUAACUUCUGUCUGGAGCGGCGUAUUACAAAGCGGUUUUAUGGGCCCUUAGCACUGAUCCUAGAUCUCUACCUAAGGCUAACUUCUAUUCCAAAGUUUUAUGGCAGCUGACACAAUGCAAGCGGGAGCCACGAUUAAUGAUGCAGGAGGGUCUGGUUAGGGAGGGCCACUAAUCAUGCAAGUUUAUGGUGGGAUUAAAAGGAAAGAUGGACCCCCUCUCUAAAUUGUGUGUGGGUGUGUGGAGCUAAUGAUAUAAACUGGAGGCUCUAUGGGCCUCUGUGUAGUUAACAUUUCAUAUAGUAUGUAGGUAGACAAUACAUCCCUCCCUCCCUCUAGCAUCCGACUGUGUGUACUUGUAACAGGGUUGGUUAUGUUUCCACUUGCCUCUAAAGAAAUGUGUAUUUAAUGUUCAAGCAUUCUUAUUGGUUAGUUCAACUCUGAUAACAAUAAGGUGUGUUGUGAUUGGCCCCGCUUGCAGAUAGGGGGAGAUCGCGAACGUCAGGUCUCCCCAUUAUGAAAAUGUGAUGCAAGUGGUAGGUCACGUUCUGAAUACUGUUUUCUAUGUUCUAUUGUGUACAAGUUUGCUGUACGUUACUGAUUUAUACAUCUGUGGGUACCUGUUAGGGAUUGAGGGGCUUUCUGGGAUGUGCUUUGGCAUAUGAUUGCUGUAAAUAAGUGUGUUAGCUAGCAUACACCGAUGUAAUGGUCACAUAAGCCCACUGCUAACACAGUUGUCCUCAUGCUACAGAUUUUGCCAUCGACAGCCAUCAAUACCGUUAAGCCCUGCACAACUAACGUGCUGUUUGCCAUUUAACAACAGGUAUUUACACAUGUUAUAUUUUGUAUUGUAUUUUUGUAUUUUGUUCGCCCAGUAUGAAAAUGUGAUGCAAGGGGUUUUGCCAUCGACAGCCAUCAAUACCGUUAAGCCCUGCACAACUAACGUGCUGUUUCCCAUUUAACAACAGAAAUAAAUGCUCAACUGGGACCACUGGCCGAAGUGAUUUAUUUUGAGAAAACACAACGCAUGGAGAGUACAUUAUACAUCUGUUACACUGGUGCCGUGACCCGGAUCACUGGUUGCUGCGGAAAAGGAGGAAGGUCAAAAGGGGGUGAUUCACAGGGUGGAGGUGACAGAGGAGGUAGAACUGAACUGGCCUCGUGUUUUGUGGGUGAGUGUGUUGAAGCUGAGACCAACAAGAGGCACGCUAGAGGUGCGAGCCACAAGGCCCUAACCAAGCCUGACCCAGAUGAGUGCAAUGCUGUUGCUGAAGUGACUGGAAUUCGAACGGCAUUGACCCCAAUGACACAAUUGUGAACGGACUGUGGUCCACGCUGUAGGAACACUAGCCGCUUGAGGCGGAUCAAGUAGAGUCACAUAGAGGACAAAGAGGAGCAGCAAGGAGAAGAGGAGAUGGGAUCCUGAGGGAGCUGGAUGGAUUACAGUCAUGUUAACAAAUAAUAAAACCAGGGUUGAAUUCUCUUCAUUUAGCAGAGAAAGUUACUUUAUUUCAGCAUCACACAUACAGCAAGACAUAUAGCAAAAACUGUGUUAUAACUGUUUUCCUUCUGAGAUUUCCCUCAACUGUAAUUGUUCAAAUACGAAAUGUUAAUUUUCAGUAACACAUCAAUGUUAUGUGGUGUCAGUGAUUUGUUAAUUUUUUUUCCCCUCCAAAGCACUUGUGGGUUUAGAAAAUGUGUGUCACGUUGGCCCAUUGUUUUUUGUUUUUUUUGUCGCUCUGGGCACGAAACCUUGGUUUGUUAAGCUUCAUCUCGUUGUCUCAGAUGGAAUAAUAAUAUAAUUCCCUGACAUUUAAGUCGGUACACUUUGUGUGCAUCUUUUUGUGCUUCGUUUAGUUAAACACUUCCAUAAAAUGCCAUCUCAGGACAAGACAAGACAGAAUAGAAAAUAAUUCCAGGACAAUCUCAUUACAAUUGGCUCGUCUUGAGUUUUCCCAACCGCUUCAUUCUUUUUUUUCAUGACCUCAUUCACCCCUCAUUUUCUCUCUCACUCUCUUCCAAUAGCCAACAAAUCCACGUUUUUGUCCGUUUCUCCGUUGUUCUUUCUCCACAGGUUGAUGGUUUUAAAAAGGAAAAUCGUCAUCAUCGCUGCAAUGACCUGCAUUCAUUUGCA
This is a long non-coding RNA of Oncorhynchus nerka (sockeye salmon), 2271 nucleotides long. RefSeq lists it as uncharacterized. The transcript is spliced from 4 exons. The record is from RefSeq and is a predicted model, not a curated record. Lineage: Eukaryota; Metazoa; Chordata; Actinopteri; Salmoniformes; Salmonidae.